RNAcentral lists this ribosomal RNA (316 nucleotides) under uncultured eukaryote. RNAcentral's name for it is "partial 18S ribosomal RNA". It matches the Rfam family "Eukaryotic small subunit ribosomal RNA", at positions 1470 to 1796 of the family's 1831-position model. The record is from RNAcentral.
CCCUUAGAUGUUCUGGGCUGCACGCGCGCUACACUGAUGCGCUCAACGAGUUUACGAACUUGCCCGGAAGGGUUGGUUAAUCUUUUUAAAACGCAUCGUGAUGGGGAUAGAUUAUUGCAAUUAUUAAUCUUCAACGAGGAAUUCCUAGUAAGCGCGAGUCAUCAGCUCGCACUGAUUACGUCCCUGCCCUUUGUACACACCGCCCGUCGCACCUACCGAUUGAAUGGUCCGGUGAAGCCUCCGGAUUGGCGCGCACCUCGGUGCCGCCGAGAAGUUGGCUAAACCUUACCAUUUAGAGGAAGGUGAAGUCGUANCA